This 497-nucleotide ribosomal RNA is filed under the name uncultured bacterium. RNAcentral describes it as "partial 16S ribosomal RNA". It matches the Rfam family "Bacterial small subunit ribosomal RNA", at positions 28 to 507 of the family's 1533-position model. The record is from RNAcentral.
GACGAACGCUGGCGGCGUGCCUAAUACAUGCAAGUUGAGCGCUGAAGGUUGGUACUUGUACCAACUGGAUGAGCAGCGAACGGGUGAGUAACGCGUGGGGAAUCUGCCUUUGAGCGGGGGACAACAUUUGGAAACGAAUGCCAAUACCGCAUAAAAACUUUAAACACAAGUUUUAAGUUUGAAAGAUGCAAUUGCAUCACUCAAAGAUGAUCCCGCGUUGUAUUAGCUAGUUGGUGAGGUAAAGGCUCACCAAGGCGAUGAUACAUAGCCGACCUGAGAGGGUGAUCGGCCACAUUGGGGCUGAGACACGGCCCAAACUCCUACGGGAGGCAGCAGUAGGGAAUCUUCGGCAAUGGACGAAAGUCUGACCGAGCAACGCCGCGUGAGUGAAGAAGGUUUUCGGAUCGUAAAACUCUGUUGGUAGAGAAGAACGUUGGUGAGAGUGGAAAGCUCAUCAAGUGACGGUAACUACCCAGAAAGGGACGGCUAACUACGUG